AAGAAAGGAGAAAAUGCCAGCCAGGCAGUGAGGGUUGGAAACCAAGGAAAGGUGUAAUAAUCCAUUUGUUAUUUGGAUGGUUGAUGGAGACAUAUGAACCUGAAAGAAAAUGGAGUGGACAGGGCUCUGGUGGCCACUGAGGCUCUUUGGGUUUAUCAAGAGGCUUGGUGAUUCCUGGAGCAUGGUGAGUAGCACCUUUGAGGCCUCUGAGAGUGGUUGUGCCAGUUCAUCCAUGAUGCAAUUCUAUGGAGGUCAAGUGAAACUAGAUCACAUAAAUGUUUGUACCUUAAUGCCUAAAGUUUAAAAACAGCGAAUUGUGUGAAGACAGCAGCAAAGGAAAGGCAAAACAUAUAACACAUGUGAAUGGACACAUCAGCUAUAUAUACAACUUGGAUAAUCAGGCCUUAACUUGCGCAGCAGAAUUCAUCAUCUUUGUGCCCCAUUAUGUUCCCAUGAUAACGGAGCCAUGAUAGGGAGACUUCUCAAAGAGGUUUAUAAAGUGUGUUAUUCAUUGAAUUAUUAAUGAAAACUAAAUCAUAUAAUGCUGAACUCUGCAAGGUGGCAAUGGAACAAGUGUAAUCUUUUUGCAUGGAAAAUAAAAGAAGAAUUGAAUUUUAAAAAUGUUUUUCUAGUACAGAAGUGCUACUGAGUAGCUGAUGCAAUACACCAUCUUCAGUGCCUUUUAUUAAAGGACUUUGUGUAUUUUACACUAUCUGGGCCCAUAACCAACCUAAUACAAGAAUCAUAUUUAUGCUCACACAUCCAUGUGAAGUAUACCUUCCUAAGGCUUGCAGCUUUUAAGCAGUUGCACUUACAAGCUUUGUGAUUUACCUUCUUUACCAAUGUAAUGUUUGAUAGGCUUGCUUCAAUGUCUGAGUUUCUCUCAUGGCAUGGUUUUGGUUACUUGUGUCUGUAAUGCAGGUAGGAGAAUGAUUCAAGGAAGAAUAACAUUUCCUAUUGCAAUGCUGAAAUAAUUUAACUAUACUGAAUCAAAGACCUUAAUAAGCACUCUGUAAUGAAAUGGGCAUCUUUCAUCUCUGCUGAAGGCAUCUGGCAUUUUCCAGGCUUGACAUAAACUCUCUCUGAAGAAAAAUGUUGGCUUUUACCCCUUCUUCAGCCUACUGUGCCCGAAGUGAGCCUAUAUAGAUUCCUUCUACAGCUGUUUCAUGAAAGUCCACUUUCUGGUUAUCAGAAACACUGUUUAAAUGCAGAAAACCUAGCCAAACUACAAUAUCAACAAGUUUUCUUUUUAUCUUUUGCAUCUUUUUUUUUCUUUUUUUUUUCUUUUAUUUUUUCUGCAAUUGGCUGCACAAAGAACACCAAGACUUCUACUUGCUAAAUAAGUAUUUUUAGCUUGACGGUUGUGCAAAAUCCUUCAAAAAUGGUUUCUAAAGCAACCAAAAUCACACACAGUUGAGUUCAGUUAAAAAAAAAAAAAAUGGAAAAAAAACCAACAUCCUGACAAGCAAAGGAACAGCACUUGAUGAUUUUUAUGGUGGCAUCAUGUUUUAUAGAUUUUGUGAUUGUAAAAUGGCUAGUUCCUUAUAAAAGGAACAAACUGGCUGAAUUUAAGGGAAUUCAGUGGAACUGGCAUAUAUUUUCAGCUGGUGCUGCAGAGGUGCCUAACCAAGGCACCCAGUCAUUGCUGUCAGAAGAGAGAUGAGACCCUUUCAGAAGGUUGACUCAGCUGGACUUUCUGUUUCGAUUUACCCGAGAGGAGUGGUGUGAGAAUGUCUCCCAUCUGAGGUGCCAAAAAUCAGACACAGUGAAUCUGCUCUGGUCUUUAGAUUUCUUUUUAAUUUGAUACAGCAAUUCCAGCGGGGACAAUACUUACCUGCAUCAGACAAUUUAUUUUACUUGCUGCACAAGUGACCAAACUGCUCGUAUUCUGACAAGAAGUUUCUGUUCUUCUCCCUUUGGAUGGGCCACUAAAUCAGUCUACCUGCUCUUAAUGACUAACUCACAAUUUAGAGGAGUCCCGGUGCUGUUUGGGAAAGUGUAAUUGAUUUCACUGACAAGGCUGAUACACCUUCUUACUGAACAAAGCUAGUUCUAACAAAAGUGGCAUGUUCAGUGCUGUAAAUUAAAGGCUUCCAUUUUCAACAGAAUCUUGAAUUUUUGGUUUAUCUCAGAGUAUGAAGGCAACCCAUCUGUAAAAGGUUAAAAUAUUUGUAUAGCAUAACAGAACGAUUCAAACUAUUCUCACCCAACUGCUGAUGCUGUUUCUUAACAUUAGUACCCACAAUCAGUAUAAAGAGAAUAGACGAAGUGCUACAGGGAAUGUUUUAAGGAGUGUGUGUCUCCUUCUGCUAUGGAAGAAUAGAAUUGAAUUUAAAAUCCUAACGUAACUUAUCUGGAAGACACUCUGCUGCCACAUUGAAGACAAAGGAGCUAUUUUCUUUAUGUCAACUGAAAAUGUUCAAAAUCUUUAAUAAGUGACAGUGGCA
Molecule: long non-coding RNA, 2447 nt
Organism: Cygnus olor (mute swan)
Lineage: Eukaryota; Metazoa; Chordata; Aves; Anseriformes; Anatidae
Exons: 5
Source: RefSeq, a predicted model, not a curated record